This 590-nucleotide long non-coding RNA is filed under the name Elaeis guineensis (African oil palm). RNAcentral's name for it is "long non-coding RNA (EGUI_LNC061498)". The record is from RNAcentral. Lineage: Eukaryota; Viridiplantae; Streptophyta; Magnoliopsida; Arecales; Arecaceae.
GUACCAGAGCAUGUCUAGAAAUUAAUUUUAAAGUUUGCUCAUUUGCUUUUGCUUAAAUAAUUUACUCAUUUUGCUUUUAAUUCUUUUAUUAAUCUGCUUUUGAUUCUUUCAUCAAUUUGCUUUUGAUUCUUUCAUUUUGGUAUAGCAUUUCUCUCCCUUUUUGACAUCAUCAACAAAAGAUUGUUACUCCCCCUUUUUCUUUGAAUACAUUUUCUCUUUUUCUUUCUUUUGAUGGAAAUAAUUUUACUAAUAUUACUUUUGUUUACUCCCCCUGAAUACAACAAACAUAAAAGAUAUACCGUUGGAUAUCAUAGAUAGCAUAUAUUACAAUUCAUAAUAUCUUAAGCAUGCACAUAAUUGAAAGCAACUAAAUUUGAAGGUCAUACAUUAAAAGUCAAGGAGUAGAUAUAUAAUCAAAAAGUGACUGAUACCACAUAGUGGUUCCAAUACAUACACCAAAAUAUAAAAGUUAAUUAGUCAACAUCAUUACAUGUCCCAAAAGAUAGAUCCUAGAAAGAGACAAAAGACAAGACUAACUACAAGGAUCUAGUAAAGCUCAUGACUGGAUGGAUCAGAAUCAGAUGUAUCGG